ACUACGUGCGGGUGUGAUUAAAUGGCCAAAAAACGAGAGGGAAAAAAGAGUCAUUUACGUAAAACCAGAAUAUGCUCUUCCUUCCCAUCGUCGAAUAGCCUCACACUGUGACAUAAAAUCCAUCAAUCCGAUAGAGAUCGUUUCUUAUAUAACCAUGCAGCAGCUCUAAAUGGGAACUACAACUUCUUUCUAAAGCAGCUCACAGGCAUUUUGAUUCCUUGGGCCCAAACUGGUGAGGAAUAGGUACUACCACACAUUUUUGGCUGAGCUUUAUGCUGUUGUCAUGGUAACAAUGCAUGGUUGGAAAAGUACAACCACUAGAAGACCCACUCAAAAUAUAUGUACAUAUGCACUAGCAGAAUAUAUCUGAUUUAUGAGUUAUGUGAACUGAUUAAAACGAUUCCUAAUAAACACUUACUGAUUUG
Molecule: long non-coding RNA, 425 nt
Organism: Pocillopora damicornis (cauliflower coral)
Lineage: Eukaryota; Metazoa; Cnidaria; Anthozoa; Scleractinia; Pocilloporidae
Source: RefSeq, a predicted model, not a curated record